GGGGCUGAAUUGGUUUCGAUAAGGGUUGUAUCCUGCCUGGCUGUAAGGAUACAUUAAAACGGAAUAAUAAUAUUUCUGGCCCAUACACGGGGGUUCGAUUCCCCCCAGCUCCACCA
This 116-nucleotide transfer-messenger RNA is filed under the name Bacteroidota bacterium. RNAcentral describes it as "Bacteroidetes bacterium (cold seep metagenome) transfer-messenger RNA". It matches the Rfam family "transfer-messenger RNA". From Rfam's summary of the family: Bacterial tmRNA, also known as 10Sa RNA or SsrA, is named for its dual tRNA and mRNA-like properties. Its role is to liberate the mRNA from a stalled ribosome. To accomplish this part of the tmRNA is used as a reading frame that ends in a translation stop signal. The record is from RNAcentral. Lineage: Bacteria; Pseudomonadati; Bacteroidota.